CCCAUGUUCCUUAGAUCCACCCUUGGGUUCAUACAGUCGGUCCACAGCUCAGGUGUGACUAGCUAGCCGGUCUAUGGCUCAUAUGUGACUAGCUUGAACCAGCAACUUUCUUGGUUGUAUGUCGAGGGUGCUUGAGUCAUAAGCAUGGAACAGUAAUAUACCUCAGUCUGUAGCUGUUAGCCUACCUCUGUUGGUCGCUGUUGCUGCAGACUUGGACAUU
Molecule: small nucleolar RNA, 220 nt
Organism: Mya arenaria
Lineage: Eukaryota; Metazoa; Mollusca; Bivalvia; Myida; Myidae
Product: small nucleolar RNA SNORA53
Exons: 1
Source: RefSeq, a predicted model, not a curated record